This is a non-coding RNA of Chelonoidis abingdonii (Abingdon island giant tortoise), 109 nucleotides long. Lineage: Eukaryota; Metazoa; Chordata; Testudines; Testudinidae. The record is from RefSeq and is a predicted model, not a curated record.
UAGCUGUUUUAGUCUGGAUAUAUAAAAGCAGCAACGAGUCCUGUGCACCUUAUAGACUAACAGACGUAUUGGAGUAUGAGCUUUCGUGGGUGAAUACCCACUUCGUCGG